CCUCCUAUAAGACCGUACCCUAAACCGACACAGGUGGACUGGUAGAGCAUACCAAGGCGCUUGAGAGAACGAUGUUGAAGGAACUCGGCAAAAUACCUCCGUAAGUUCGCGAGAAGGAGGCCCGGUUCCUAGGCAACUAGGGGCUGGGGGCACAAACCAGGGGGUGGCGACUGUUUAUUAAAAACACAGGGCUCUGCGAAGUCGCAAGACGACGUAUAGGGUCUGACGCCUGCCCGGUGCCUGAAGGUUAAAAGGAGAGGUGAGAGCCUUGAAUUGAAGCCCAGGUAAACGGCGGCCGUAACUAUAACGGUCCUAAGGUAGCGAAAUUCCUUGUCGGGUAAGUUCCGACCUGCACGAAUGGCGUAACGACUUCCCCGCUGUCUCCAACAUCGACUCAGCGAAAUUGAAUUGCCUGUCAAGAUGCAGGCUUCCCGCGGUUAGACGGAAAGACCCCGUGCACCUUUACUACAGCUUCGCACUGGCAUCAGGAUUGUGAUGUGCAGGAUAGGUGGUGGGCUUUGAAGCAGAGACGCAAGUCUUUGUGGAGCCUCCCUUGAGAUACCACCCUUCGCACUCUUGAUGUCUAACCGCGGUCCGUUAUCCGGAUCCGGGACCCUGCGUGGCGGGUAGUUUGACUGGGGCGGUCGCCUCCUAAAGCGUAACGGAGGCGCGCGAAGGUUGGCUCAGAGCGGUCGGAAAUCGCUCGUUGAGUGCAAUGGCAGAAGCCAGCCUGACUGCGAGACUGACAAGUCGAGCAGAGUCGAAAGACGGCCAUAGUGAUCCGGUGGUCCCGAGUGGAAGGGCCAUCGCUCAACGGAUAAAAGGUACGCCGGGGAUAACAGGCUGAUACUGCCCAAGAGUCCAUAUCGACGGCAGUGUUUGGCACCUCGAUGUCGGCUCAUCUCAUCCUGGGGCUGGAGCAGGUCCCAAGGGUACGGCUGUUCGCCGUUUAAAGAGGUACGUGAGCUGGGUUUAGAACGUCGUGAGACAGUUCGGUCCCUAUCUGCCGUGGGUGUAGGAGACUUGAGAGGAGUUGCCCCUAGUACGAGAGGACCGGGGUGAACGAUCCACUGGUGGACCAGUUGUCGUGCCAACGGCAGUGCUGGGUAGCUAUGAUCGGACAGGAUAACCGCUGAAGGCAUCUAAGCGGGAAGCCCCCCUCAAAACAAGGUCUCCCUGAGGGCCGUGGAAGACCACCACGUCAAUAGGCCGGAGAUGUAAGCGCAGUAAUGCGUUCAGUUGACCGGUACUAAUCGCCCGAUAGGCUUGAU
This 1271-nucleotide ribosomal RNA is filed under the name Ruegeria atlantica. RNAcentral describes it as "bacterial LSU rRNA". It matches the Rfam family "Bacterial large subunit ribosomal RNA", at positions 1630 to 2925 of the family's 2925-position model. Lineage: Bacteria; Pseudomonadati; Pseudomonadota; Alphaproteobacteria; Rhodobacterales; Roseobacteraceae. The record is from RNAcentral.